RNAcentral lists this ribosomal RNA (253 nucleotides) under uncultured bacterium. Its description in RNAcentral is "partial 16S ribosomal RNA". It matches the Rfam family "Bacterial small subunit ribosomal RNA", at positions 524 to 776 of the family's 1533-position model. The record is from RNAcentral.
UACGUAGGGUGCGAGCGUUGCCCGGAUUUAUUGGGCGUAAAGGGCGCGUAGGCGGCUCGGCACGUCCGUUGUGAAAUCUCCGAGCUUAACUCGGAAAGGUCAACUGAUACUGUGCGGCUAGAGUGCGGAAGGGGCAACUGGAAUUCUUGGUGUAGCGGUGAAAUGCGCAGAUAUCGGGAGGAACACCUAUGGCGAAGGCAGCUCGCUGGGACGUUACUGACGCUGAGACGCGAAAGCGUGGGGAGCAAACAGG